ACUCAAACUGGGGGCUCUUUUG
This 22-nucleotide microRNA is filed under the name Mus musculus (house mouse). Its description in RNAcentral is "mmu-miR-292a-5p". Its record names the gene mmu-miR-292a-5p. Lineage: Eukaryota; Metazoa; Chordata; Mammalia; Rodentia; Muridae. RNAcentral also lists the same sequence under 1 other name. The record is from miRBase by way of RNAcentral.